GGUUCAAGUCCCUUUUUCCCC
This 21-nucleotide transfer RNA is filed under the name Pedicularis bracteosa var. latifolia. Its description in RNAcentral is "partial tRNA-Leu". The record is from RNAcentral. Lineage: Eukaryota; Viridiplantae; Streptophyta; Magnoliopsida; Lamiales; Orobanchaceae.